CCUACGGGAGGCAGCAGUGGGGAAUAUUGCACAAUGGGGGAAACCCUGAUGCAGCAACGCCGCGUGAGUGAAGAAGGAUUUCGGUAUGUAAAGCUCUAUCAGCAGGGAAGAGAAUGACGGUACCUGACUAAGAAGCCCCGGCUAACUACGUGCCAGCAGCCGCGGUAAUACGUAGGGGGCGAGCAUUAUCCGGAUUUACUGGGUUUAAAGGGUGCGUAGGCUGUGAGGUAAGUCAGCGGUGAAAUGCCCCCGCUCAACGGGGUGAAGUGCCAUUGAUACUGCCUUGCUGGAAUGCGGAUGCCGUGGGAGGAAUUUGUGGUGUAGCGGUGAAAUGCAUAGAUAUCACACAGAACACCGAUUGCGAAGGCAUCUCACGAAUCCGCGAUUGACGCUGAUGCACGAAAGCGUGGGUAUCAAACAGGAUUAGAUACCCCUGUAGUC
Molecule: ribosomal RNA, 441 nt
Filed under: uncultured bacterium
Lineage: Bacteria
Description: partial 16S ribosomal RNA
Rfam family: Bacterial small subunit ribosomal RNA
Source: RNAcentral